GAUGAACGCUGGCGGCGUGCCUAAUACAUGCAAGUCGAGCGAACGGACGAGAAGCUUGCUUCUCUGAUGUUAGCGGCGGACGGGUGAGUAACACGUGGAUAACCUACCUAUAAGACUGGGAUAAUUUCGGGAAACCGGAGCUAAUACCGGAUGAUAUUUUGAACCGCAUGGUUCAAGAGUGAAAGACGCUCUUGCUGUCACUUAGAGAUGGAUCCGCGCUGCUUUAGUUAGUUGGUAAGGUAACGGCUUACCAAGGCAACGAUGCAUAGCCGACCUGAGGGGGUGAUCGGCAACCCGGGAACUGAGACCCGGUCCAGACUCCACGGGGAGGCACCAGUAGGGAUUCUGCCGCAAUGGGCGAAAGCCUGACGGAGCAACGCCGCGUGAGUGAUAAAGGUCUUCGGUUCGUAAAACUCUUUUAUGAGGGAAGAACAUAUGUGUAAGUAACUGUGCUCUUCUGGACGGUACCUAAGCAGAAAGCCACGCCAACCUCCGU
RNAcentral lists this ribosomal RNA (496 nucleotides) under uncultured bacterium. Its description in RNAcentral is "partial 16S ribosomal RNA". It matches the Rfam family "Bacterial small subunit ribosomal RNA", at positions 28 to 506 of the family's 1533-position model. The record is from RNAcentral.